Molecule: ribosomal RNA, 472 nt
Filed under: uncultured bacterium
Lineage: Bacteria
Description: bacterial SSU rRNA
Rfam family: Bacterial small subunit ribosomal RNA
Source: RNAcentral
ACUCCUACGGGAGGCAGCAGUUAGGAAUAUUCGGCAAUGGGCGCAAGCCUGAUCCAGCAAUACCGCGUGCAGGAAGAAGGCCUUCGGGUUGUAAACUGCUUUUGUACGGAACGAAAAGGUCUUGGUUAAUACCUGGGGCUCAUGACGGUACCGUAAGAAUAAGCACCGGCUAACUACGUGCCAGCAGCCGCGGUAAUACGUAGGGUGCGAGCGUUAAUCGGAAUUACUGGGCGUAAAGCGUGCGCAGGCGGUUAUGUAAGACAGGUGUGAAAUCCCCGAGCUCAACUUGGGAAUUGCACUUGUGACUGCAUAACUAGAGUGCGGCAGAGGGGAUGGAAUUCCGCGUGUAGCAGUGAAAUGCGUAGAUAUGCGGAGGAACACCGAUGGCGAAGGCAAUCCCCUGGGCCUGCACUGACGCUCAUGCACGAAAGCGUGGGGAGCAAAACAGGAUUAGAUACCCUGGUAGGUCAGU